GAUGAACGCUGGCGGCGUGCCUAAUACAUGCAAGUCGAGCGAACGGACGAGAAGCUUGCUUCUCUGAUGUUAGCGGCGGACGGGUGAGUAACACGUGGAUAACCUACCUAUAAGACUGGGAUAACUUCGGGAAACCGGAGCUAAUACCGGAUAAUAUUUUGAACCGCAUGGUUCAACAGUAAAAGACGGUCUUGCUGUCACUUAUAGAUGGAUCCGCGCUGCAUUAGCUAGUUGGUAAGGUAACGGCUUACCAAGGCAACGAUGCAUAGCCGACCUGAGAGGGUGAUCGGCCACACUGGAACUGAGACACGGUCCAGACUCCUACGGGAGGCAGCAGUAGGGAAUCUUCCGCAAUGGGCGAAAGCCUGACGGAGCAACGCCGCGUGAGUGAUGAAGGUCUUCGGAUCGUAAAACUCUGUUAUUAGGGAAGAACAUAUGUGUAAGUAACUGUGCACAUCUUGACGGUACCUAAUCAGAAAGCCACGGCUAACUACGUG
Molecule: ribosomal RNA, 497 nt
Filed under: uncultured bacterium
Lineage: Bacteria
Description: partial 16S ribosomal RNA
Rfam family: Bacterial small subunit ribosomal RNA
Source: RNAcentral